RNAcentral lists this ribosomal RNA (496 nucleotides) under uncultured bacterium. RNAcentral's name for it is "partial 16S ribosomal RNA". It matches the Rfam family "Bacterial small subunit ribosomal RNA", at positions 28 to 507 of the family's 1533-position model. The record is from RNAcentral.
GAUGAACGCUGGCGGCGUGCCUAAUACAUGCCAGUCGAGCGAACAGACGAGGAGCUUGCUCCUCUGACGUUAGCGGCGGACGGGUGAGUAACACGUGGAUAACCUACCUAUAAGACUGGGAUAACUUCGGGAAACCGGAGCUAAUACCGGAUAAUAUAUUGAACCGCAUGGUUCAAUAGUGAAAGACGGUUUUGCUGUCACUUAUAGAUGGAUCCGCGCCGCAUUAGCUAGUUGGUAAGGUAACGGCUUACCAAGGCAACGAUGCGUAGCCGACCUGAGAGGGUGUUCGCCCACCCGGAACCGGGGACACGGCCCAGAUCCCUAGGGAGGCAGCAGUAGGGAAUCUUCCGCAAUGGGCGAAAGCCUGACGGAGCAACGCCGCGUGAGUGAUGAAGGUCUUCGGAUCGUAAAACUCUGUUAUUAGGGAAGAACAAAUGUGUAAGUAACUAUGCACGUCUUGACGGUACCUAAUCAGAAAGCCACGGCUAACUACGUG